UUCCUCUAUUGGGGCCACCUGAGGAAGGAGCUCGUUAGGGGCGAACUGCAUUCCCCCAAAAUCCAUUUGUUGGAGUCCUAACCCCCAGGACCUCAGGAGAUGACGGUGUUUGGAGAGAGAGGGCCUAUAAAGAGGUGACGAAGGUUAACUGAGGUCAUACAGGUGGGCCCUGAAGCCAUGUGACUGGUGCGCUGAUAAGAAAAGGAGAUGAGGUCACGGACACGUACAGGGGGCUGACCACGUUGAGGACACAGUGGGGACACCGUCCCUAAGCCAAGGAGAGAAACCAGCCCUGCUGGCACGCGGAUCUCGCACGUCCAGCCUCCAGAACCGUGAACGAACAGACGUCUGCUGUUUAAGCCCCCCGGGCUGUGGCACUUCGUCACAGUGCCCGAGGACACGCCUCUUCAGCUCAAGCAGGACGGGGGUGUCCUGCGGGCGCUCAGGAAGCAAGACCCAGAAGAGCCACGUCCGAGACUGCCGGCGCCCCGCAGAGGUCUGCACCCAGAGGACAGCUGGGGCGGGAGCAGGGGUAUCUCUGCACCUCUGCACCUGCCAGCUCAGCCAAGCAAACGCCCGGAGCCAGCACCCAGCUCCUGGGGGGCAAGAACAACAGAGGGGCAAAGAGACCCUGUCCUUUCUGAGUGUGGAUCCCCACACGGCAGCCUUGGAGAAGUGCACGGACCAGAGGGGGCUGUGGCAGUGCUGGACCACCCCACGCCCGUGGGCAGGGGCCUGACCCUGGGCCCCCGGUGCUCCGGAGAGCCCUCUCCCAGCCGGCCAUCCCCCUAUCCAGCCUCCAAACCCCGAUGCCGAGAGAGGCCCAGGGGAAACACAGAUGCUUGUCCGAUAAGGUACGGUCCAGCCUCAGUGUUUGUGGAUUCUGUAUUUGCAAAUCCACCUGCUCACCAGAAUUAUUUGUAACCCCCCCCCCCAAGCGGUCCUCCUGGCACGUACGCGGUCAUUCGCAGACACGUGCGUGCAGAGCAGCCAAAAACUUGAGUGCUUGGUGAGCGUGUUCCCAGAUGACAUUAUUCCCGUCACAUACGAUGAACAAGCGUCCUUCUCGUGGUCCAGCGAGCGCCACGUUUUGCAUAUCUUUGUGCUUUUCGUUGGCGAUUUCACUGUUUAAAAUGGUUCCACGCGUAGUGAAGUGCCGUCUAGUGUUCCCACGUGCAAGAAUGCUGUGAUGAGCCUUCUAGAAGAAACACGUGUGUCAGAUGAGCUUCCUUCAGGCACGUGUCAUAGUGCAGGUGGCCUGGAGUUCAACGUUACUGAAUCAGCAAUACAUAUUAAGUAAGGUGCCUUUAAACAGAAACACACAGAAAACAAGGCUCCAUGGAUCAGAAGCCUCCCUCUGUGUUCGCCCAGGAGCAGAGGCUCACCGUCACCAGGGAACACAGCCGCCAUGAAGAAGAGGCAUGACUGUAUCUGAGAAGGAACGAACCAUCUCCGGCAGCUCACUGUGGCCAGCUGGUUCAGCUCUUCCUUCGCUUUCCUCGAGAGACGUCAAACUGUGUCUCCCCGGCCCGUGCUCCAAGAACCCAGGUUUAUUCCAACUUCCAGGUAGGUAUGGAUGUCUAAUGCAGCUGUGUCACCAGAUGACAUUCACCCAGUAAGUCCCACUGGGUGUAACUCACACCCACACCUGAAACCCCAGGGUUUGGACCCCGAAGCUCCCGCCUUCGCCCACCUUUCUCACCACCAAUUUCCUUCACCUCUGGCUCAGCCCAAGCUUCUCCUGCUCCAGUGUUGACAAGUUUCUCCCUGAAGGCGGUUCCUCUUGCCCCAGACACUGCAGCUAAAGAUGCUCCCGUGACUACCAGCUACGAAAUUCUCACGCGAGGAGCCACCUUCCAUUUCUGAACAUCCUUUCCACCUUCUCAGAACAUAAGCAAGAAGGUCUCCUCCCAUGACAAGUAGAGAGAGUCGUCGCAGUGGAGGAAAAUGCGACCUGGGACAGCAUUCCCACCCCCGCAUCGUGCUAAGCAGCACACCACAAGGAGAGUGACAAGUGCUAUUUAAAACCAAGCGACGGGGAGACUUCCCUGGUGGCGCAGUGGUUAAGAAUCCACCUGCCGAUGCAGGGGACACGGGUUCGAGCCCUGGUCCAGGAAGAUCCCACAUGCCGCGGAGCAACUAAGCCCGUGCGCCACAACUACUGAGCCUGAGCUCUAGAGCCCGCAAGCCACAACUACUGAGCCCACGUGCCACAACUACUGAAGCCCGCGCACCUAGAGCCCGUGCUCCGCAACAA
Kogia breviceps (pygmy sperm whale) is the source of this 2257-nucleotide non-coding RNA. NCBI's taxonomy places the organism in Eukaryota, Metazoa, Chordata, Mammalia, Artiodactyla, Physeteridae. The record is from RefSeq and is a predicted model, not a curated record.